UCUUUGGAGAGUUUGAUCCUGGCUCAGGACGAACGCUGGCGGCGUGCCUAAUACAUGCAAGUCGAGCGGGCNUUUGGUCAGCGGCGGACGGGUGAGUAACACGUGGGCAACCUGCCCGCAAGACCGGGAUAACUCCGGGAAACCGGAGCUAAUACCGGAUAACACCGAAGACCGCAUGGUCUUUGGUUGAAAGGCGGCCUUUGGCUGUCACUUGCGGAUGGGCCCGCGGCGCAUUAGCUAGUUGGUGAGGUAACGGCUCACCAAGGCGACGAUGCGUAGCCGGCCUGAGAGGGUGACCGGCCACACUGGGACUGAGACACGGCCCAGACUCCUACGGGAGGCAGCAGUAGGGAAUCUUCCGCAAUGGGCGAAAGCCUGACGGAGCGACGCCGCGUGAGCGAAGAAGGCCUUCGGGUCGUAAAGCUCUGUUGUGAGGGACGAAGGAGCGCCGUUCGAAGAGGGCGGCGCGGUGACGGUACCUCACGAGAAAGCCCCGGCUAACUACGUGCCAGCAGCCGCGGUAAUACGUAGGGGGCGAGCGUUGUCCGGAAUUAUUGGGCGUAAAGCGCGCGCAGGCGGU
Molecule: ribosomal RNA, 580 nt
Filed under: Geobacillus thermopakistaniensis
Lineage: Bacteria; Bacillati; Bacillota; Bacilli; Caryophanales; Anoxybacillaceae
Description: bacterial SSU rRNA
Rfam family: Bacterial small subunit ribosomal RNA
Source: RNAcentral